Molecule: long non-coding RNA, 630 nt
Filed under: Spirodela polyrhiza (greater duckweed)
Lineage: Eukaryota; Viridiplantae; Streptophyta; Magnoliopsida; Alismatales; Araceae
Description: long non-coding RNA (SPOL_LNC001407)
Source: RNAcentral
UGAGGGUGAACAGGUAGAGAGGGAUGGUGAUGAGAGGAGGAAAUGGGAUGGUGGUGAGAGGGAUGGUGGUUCGGCUCCUGAUCCCCAUCAAAGGACAUCUGAUGCAAGAAGGAUUUGCGGAGGGUUGAAGCUGCGUCAGCGCUCUCAUGGUGGAGGAGACCGAGGAGACGGGCGGCCGGCGCGUGGAACGCCUUCCUUACUGGACGAGAUUUGCUGUGGGCAGGGAGAGAGUUGGGAAGGGUAUGGAGGAGGAGGGAGGCCAUGAAAGAGAUCAGAACAGAGGAGGCAUGUUUUCUGAACAAGAUCAGAUACCGGCCACUGAUCGCCACCCGUUCGAAGAUUUGCUCUCGCAGGCUACUCUAGUCAUUUACACAAACAACCCAUAGUCAACCUCACAACUCGUCCUCCGCCGGCGACGGCGCAGGUACACCUGACCACCCUUCAAUGCCGACGAUAGCGGCAAGUCAAUCUCAAUUCGUAUCAUCAUUUCCCAUACAAAUGCAUAUACUAACACGUGAAAUCCUUCAUUCUGACUUCAUUACAUUUUUACCAUAAGGUCCCAUUAUUUUUAUGGUAUGAUGGGUUCCAGUGACAUCGUCGGAGGAGUGGGGGACGAAGUCAACUGAUGAG